RNAcentral lists this ribosomal RNA (263 nucleotides) under uncultured Methanocella sp. RNAcentral describes it as "partial 16S ribosomal RNA". It matches the Rfam family "Archaeal small subunit ribosomal RNA", at positions 1 to 244 of the family's 1478-position model. Lineage: Archaea; Methanobacteriati; Methanobacteriota; Methanomicrobia; Methanocellales; Methanocellaceae. The record is from RNAcentral.
CGGCGGCCGCGAUUCCUAGUGAUUUCCGGUUGAUCCCGCCGGAGGUCACUGCUAUCGGUGUCCGAUUGAGCCAUGCGAGUCGUGAGAUUAAUGGUCUCGGCGUACUGCUCAGUAACACGUGGACAAUCUGCCCAAGGGUCCGGGAUAACCCCGGGAAACUGGGGAUAAUACCGGGCGGGCCAUCCUUUCUGGAAUUUUGGGGGGUGGUUUAAAGGUUUCGCCCUUGGAUGGGUCUGCGGCGGAUUAGGUUGACGCCGGUGUAA